Rhipicephalus microplus (southern cattle tick) is the source of this 269-nucleotide long non-coding RNA. The record is from RefSeq and is a predicted model, not a curated record. Lineage: Eukaryota; Metazoa; Arthropoda; Arachnida; Ixodida; Ixodidae.
CUCGGACGCCCACUUUAUUACCAAUCUUUUUAAGAUUGUGUGCCACACUAUGGAUAUAGGGGACAACAGCCGUUUUAUGCUGCUGCAGGAUCUACUUUUAGGCUGCAACACCGCAAUGCUUUGGAGAAGCCUGGCGUAUCCUUACGUACAACAGGUCCUGCUUAUGACUGUUUAUUGCGGCAGUUCAGUUCCCGAAAGUUAUGGGACUAAAUUACUUCAUUAAACGAGGCUGCUUCGGAGGUGUCCAGUGCAAUAAAGUAGGACAAAAA